AAAAUAUCAAAAUGUACCUAUAAAGACGUAGCAGUGUAUUUAUGAUACUCAAUAUUUGCUUUAAGAUCCUCCUUUAAGAUAUUUACAGUAAGCAAGCCACCGAUCAAUAGUUCAAGUUCUUGUUCAUUAAAUAUGAAAAUUGGUCGUUUAAGCAUAAUAUCAUAAAAUCCUUCCAAGAAUAGACCUGUAGUUAGGAAGAUUUAAAAUAUAAAAAUAACGUAGAACGUGAAAA
Solenopsis invicta (red fire ant) is the source of this 232-nucleotide long non-coding RNA. RefSeq lists it as uncharacterized. Lineage: Eukaryota; Metazoa; Arthropoda; Insecta; Hymenoptera; Formicidae. The record is from RefSeq and is a predicted model, not a curated record. The transcript has 2 exons.